Molecule: ribosomal RNA, 515 nt
Filed under: uncultured bacterium
Lineage: Bacteria
Description: bacterial SSU rRNA
Rfam family: Bacterial small subunit ribosomal RNA
Source: RNAcentral
CGAACGUUGGCGGCGUGGAUUAGACAUGCAAGUCGCACGAGAAAGUUUUCUUCGGAGAACGAGUAGAGUGGCGAACGGGUGAGUAAUGCAUGGAUAACUUGCCCCUGAGAUGGGAAUAACGUUUCGAAAGGAACGCUAAUACCCAAUACUGUCGGAGCUCUUCGGUGUUCCGAUGAAAGGAGGCCUCUGACUCAAGCUUCCGCUCAGGGAGAGGUUCAUGUCCUAUUAGCUUGUUGGUGAGGUAACGGCUCACCAAGGCUGCGAUGGGUAGCCGACCUGAGAGGGUGACCGGCCACAUUGGGACUGAGACACUGCCCAAACUCCUACGGGAGGCUGCAGUCGAGAAUCUUCCGCAAUGCGCGCAAGCGUGACGGAGCGACGCCGCGUGGGUGAUGAAGGCCUUCGGGUUGUAAAGCCCUGUCAGUUGCUAGGAAUUGGAGGCGGUGAAUAAUCGUCCUUCUUGACCAGGCUUCAGAGGAAGCACCGGCUAAAUACGUGCCAGCAGCCGCGGUAAU